Non-coding RNA from Otolemur garnettii (small-eared galago), 378 nucleotides. The record is from Rfam. Lineage: Eukaryota; Metazoa; Chordata; Mammalia; Primates; Galagidae.
GCCGGGCGUUGUGGCGGGCGCCUGUGGUCCCAGCUACUCGGGAGGCGGAGGCAGGAGACUUGCUUGAGCCCAGGAGUUGGAGGUUGCUGUGAGCUGUAAUGCCACGGCACUCUGCCCAGGGGGACAGCUUGAGGCUCUGUCUCAAAAAAAAAAAAAGAAAAAUAGGAAUAGAAUUAAUGCUGAACCCCAUUGCAUUCUAUCAAAAAGUAAGUCGGCCACCCAGAUAUGAACUAAGAGGGAUAAAAAAGUCAUGGCCCUCUCAUGGAUAUUCUUUUUUUUUGAGACAGAGCCUCAAGCUAUUCCCCUGGGUAGAGUGCCAUGGCAUCACAACUCACAGCAACCUCCAACUCCUGGGCUCAAGCGAGUCUCCUGCCUCUG